RNAcentral lists this ribosomal RNA (610 nucleotides) under Debaryomyces sp. RNAcentral's name for it is "eukaryotic LSU rRNA". The stretch from base 216 to 369 matches the Rfam family "5.8S ribosomal RNA". The record is from RNAcentral. Lineage: Eukaryota; Fungi; Ascomycota; Pichiomycetes; Serinales; Debaryomycetaceae.
UGCGGAAGGAUCAUUACAGUAUUCUUUUUGCCAGCGCUUAAUUGCGCGGCGAAAAAACCUUACACACAGUGUUUUUUGUUAUUACAAGAACUUUUGCUUUGGUCUGGACUAGAAAUAGUUUGGGCCAGAGGUUUACUGAACUAAACUUCAAUAUUUAUAUUGAAUUGUUAUUUAUUUAAUUGUCAAUUUGUUGAUUAAAUUCAAAAAAUCUUCAAAACUUUCAACAACGGAUCUCUUGGUUCUCGCAUCGAUGAAGAACGCAGCGAAAUGCGAUAAGUAAUAUGAAUUGCAGAUUUUCGUGAAUCAUCGAAUCUUUGAACGCACAUUGCGCCCUCUGGUAUUCCAGAGGGCAUGCCUGUUUGAGCGUCAUUUCUCUCUCAAACCUUCGGGUUUGGUAUUGAGUGAUACUCUUAGUCGAACUAGGCGUUUGCUUGAAAUGUAUUGGCAUGAGUGGUACUGGAUAGUGCUAUAUGACUUUCAAUGUAUUAGGUUUAUCCAACUCGUUGAAUAGUUUAAUGGUAUAUUUCUCGGUAUUCUAGGCUCGGCCUUACAAUAUAACAAACAAGUUUGACCUCAAAUCAGGUAGGACUACCCGCUGAACUUAAGCAUA